UACGAAGGGGGCUAGCGUUGUUCGGAAUUACUGGGCGUAAAGGGCGCGUAGGCGGCCUUCUAAGUCGAACGUGAAAUCCCUAGGCUCAACCUAGGAACUGCGUCCGAUACUGGGAGGCUUGAAUCCGGGAGAGGGAUGCGGAAUUCCAGGUGUAGCGGUGAAAUGCGUAGAUAUCUGGAGGAACACCGGUGGCGAAGGCGGCAUCCUGGACCGGCAUUGACGCUGAGGCGCGAAAGCCAGGGGAGCAAACGGG
This 253-nucleotide ribosomal RNA is filed under the name uncultured bacterium. Its description in RNAcentral is "partial 16S ribosomal RNA". It matches the Rfam family "Bacterial small subunit ribosomal RNA", at positions 524 to 776 of the family's 1533-position model. The record is from RNAcentral.